Long non-coding RNA from Mesocricetus auratus (golden hamster), 1719 nucleotides. RefSeq lists it as uncharacterized. The record is from RefSeq and is a predicted model, not a curated record. Lineage: Eukaryota; Metazoa; Chordata; Mammalia; Rodentia; Cricetidae. The transcript is spliced from 3 exons.
GGCAUACACACACACAGGCACACACACACCAGAUGUGGAGCUGGAGAGACGCUCUCACACACACGUACAUGCAUACACACACACACGCACACACAGGUGCAUGCUUCAUUUAAAGAUAAAUAAGUUUUAGAAGAUACAGAUGUGAAGGCUUAGUUACCUCUAGUGAGAUUUUAAUCCUAAAUGUCCACUAAACUUUUUAGAAACCUAGAAUUUUUAGAAUUUAUAUGCAAUUUUAUGCCCUUAACCCAGAUACAACAGUUGUUAAAUUAUUGGGUCUCACUCUCUCCAAAUACUUGAAUUUGUGCACACUCAACACACUGAUGCCUACGCACACAGCUUUUCCGAUAUCUUACCUCUUCUAUCAAAUACCUAAGUGUGUUUCCCUUGAGCAGCUGUAAUACAGUAUCCAACCAAGUCUGGUGUCGAUGCACAGCACUACACAACCCAACAGCUUAUUUAAAUGUCACCAGUUGUCCCCGCUGGUACAGUGGAGUGUGUCCCGAUUUUAAUCGAGUGUCUCACUGGGCACCCUUGUUCUGAACCUCCCUGUGGCAUCGGGUGCAGAAAGAAGACAGAGAGGCACUCUAGGGGUGAUUCUUAGCCUCUCCCGCUCUAAGUGUGAUUCUUAGCCUCUCCUGCCACGGGGGAUCAGCCUACGGCUGACUCACUCCCUGCCGCCUCAGUGAUUGCGGUGUGCUAUUUCAUGGUGUGCUACUUUUGUUUGUACUGCGGAACAUUUGUUUAACUCUGUGGAACAUUUGUAUUAAAGGUGUAUUGUUUUUACUCGUGCUGCAUUUGUUUAACUCUGUGGAGCUGUGAUUCCCUGUGUAAAACACCUGAUGGCCUGACGAAGAGCUGAACGGCCAUAGCGAGGCAGGAAAAGGACAGGCGGGACCAGUGGGCAGCGAGAAUAAACAGACAGAGAAAUCGGGGGAGGAGAAGGGGGGGCAAGAGAGAACAAAGAGAGGAGGACAGCGGAGCCAGCUACAGAGUAAGAGUGAGGCAUCAUUUUGUUGUCAGAAGUUCUGGAACCCGGAUCCAGGCACCUAGAAAAGUGGCUGCUCCUCUGCCCUACCAGGCACACCUGGACUCUCCUUUCGCUAAGCUCCCCACCACUUUGCUGGGCAAGGCACGAUUCCUGCCGCCGGGAACCAGCACCUUCUACCUGCCGUGUUGACCAAGGGCCCCAGGAAGAACCCUGAGAGGGAGGCCCCGAGUGAGCAGCUGAAAACAUUGAGCUUCUCCACACGGAUGCCUGAAGAUGCUCACAACUCUGGACGAGACCCAGGAGAAUCCAGACAAAGAAGCUGUUGUCUUCCAAGUCCUUUGUCCUAGGAAUCUGAGGCUGGAAAAUACCUGGUGCAGGUCGUAGAUUUGAGUCUAAUAUGUUCCACCAGCUACAGGCUGGGAGCAAAAGCCUCUGUCCUAGGUUAAUAAAGCCUGCCGUAAGUAGUUACCUGCAACCAUCACCUCCUUGACUAGGGUGCAGCCGAUACAGUCAUACUCUCCCUUUGUUUUCUGAGACAGUCUUUACUCUGGCCCGUACUUCCACGCCCGCCGGCCCCACCAUCUCCAGAGACCGGGUUUCAGCUGUGGACCCCCCACCUGGUGCCUCUUUUUCCUUUUUCCUUAGUUAGUUUUUGAUAGGAUCCUUUUUAAAAAGAUGUAUUUAUUUAUUAUAUAUACAGUGUUCUGUCUGCACGUAUCCCUGCAGGCCAG